UUUUUUAAAGUUCUUGGAAAAAAACUUUAUUGCUACAAUGCAAUAUUACAUAAUAACAAAAUUAACGAUAACAAAUCUUCAUGUUGAAGUUGAAUAGAUUAAUUCCUAUAUUACACUAAGCAGUCUAAUUGUAUAAACUUGAAACAAUCAUCACAACAAGAAUUGACAUGAUAAGAAUAUACCGAAACCACAACAAGGCACAGCAAUACCUAAAAUCUGAAUUUGGAUCACGGAACCUUAAUUGUCUCCUUUAUGCCCUCUGAAAUACAUGUAAAUUUUCUGAAGAACCCACAAGCUAAGAAGAGAUUCUAAGCAAAACAAGCCGAAACCAACCAAGUAGAAAAUCCCAACCAACAAAUGGUCAGAGAUGAGAUCAAAUGCAGGAAGUAUGCCGGUUAAUGACUUCCCAUGGAAGACAAUUGGAGG
RNAcentral lists this unclassified non-coding RNA (426 nucleotides) under Hevea brasiliensis (rubber tree). Lineage: Eukaryota; Viridiplantae; Streptophyta; Magnoliopsida; Malpighiales; Euphorbiaceae. The record is from RNAcentral.